GUGGUGCUAGGAAAGAACCAAGGUUUUUGUGUUGCCUUCAGCAGUUUGUUUGAAUUACCCAACUGUCUAGAUUAAGGAAGAAUCGUCUCUUUCCGGCUGGAGAAGGUGGGCUAGCAACCCUGUCUCAGGUAGAACAUAUGGACAAAUAAUUGGCUCCUAGAGCUGUGGGGAAACAGAGGCACCUAUAGAAAGAGUAUCUCAGAAAUUAUAGCUAGUAGGACUGUCUUUUGUCUACGUGUGUACACAUGUGUGUGUACACAUGUACACAAAUGGACACGUAUAUCCAGGUGUAAUGAGAUGGAAAUAUUUUUCUGGCAGCAGCAGACUCAAGCCAUUCUUCCUGCAGACUUCACAGAAGCAGUGGUUGGGCUCCUGAUACCGUUCCCAUUGAAGUCAGUGGAAAGGCUUUUGUUGAGUAUAAUGAGGUGGAUCAAAAUCUGAGAAGUAGGAAGCUCUUAGAAGUCUGGCACUUUCUGAAGAGCUUAGGGUCUCCUGCUGCUCUGAAUGAGUUGACUUAAUAGCAACAGGAUUGGACUCUUCGUGGACAAACUAUUCUGCCUUGCAACCAAAGCUGUCUAUGGGCCAAGGAGACAAGGAGCUGUCCCUCUGAGAUCUGAAGAUGGAAUAGUGCUCUUCAAAGACCACUUCACAUCAGUGCACAGAUUUCAACAUCAAAGACAAUGCAAUCAGCUGCUCCACAACACCCCAUUAAGCGUGUUGCUGAAAGGGGGAGCUCAGUUAAUUCCAUAGACUUCAUUUUCCCCUGAAUCCUGGGCUCCUGGAGAACAGUAGCAGAUGAUGGGUUAAAAGUGGGAGUCAUUCAUGUUAUCCCUCUGACCCACCACUCCCAUUUUCUCAAGCCACCUUUUUGUGAAGUGUUGGCAGGGCAUAUUUUAACAUGUUUUUGUUGUUGUUUUACUGCUUGGAAGCCAGAAUGGGCCCAGAGGAAUGUGCCAUGUAUGACCCAUGUCCUCUGUGCAACUUGAAAUAGAUCUGGAUGCUUGUAGUGGGGGUGAGAGGGUGGAAAUGGUUGCUCCCCAUAUAAUUAAUUUGGGGAAAUACCUGAGGUGAAUCACAUAACAUCUCCAGUGCUGGCCAUUUCCCUUAAUUCUUUUUUACAUAGGAAGGGAACCCCCAACAUGUCAACUAACAUUACUCUAGGAUUAAUGGGAAUGUCGAUGCAUGCUGAAAUAUGAGCCAGUUUUUCAAGAUCAAGCUGCUUUGCAAAGUUUUAGAUAGUCCUCUGAGAUUUUAGGGUGCUUUAUUUAAACUGUAUAUCUGAAACUCUUCCAGUUUCAUUCACUACUAAUUGCUAGCAGAGGACUGAAAAUGCUGGAAUUAUACAGCCCGCUAAUGCAUUAGAGUUUUUUAAGAUGUAGUGCCAUCAGCUCCAUUAUCAGAUUGUCAUGGCAAGAUGAGAAGAACAAGAAACAGGUGUGUACACUUUUGACAGUUAUAAUGGAUUACUGUAUAGGGCUACAGAAGAAAAGUGGAAGCACUUUAAUAAAUAGGAGACUCCCAUUGAAAGUCAAUAUAGAAAGGUUUCUUUGGACUGACCACAAAAAGAGGAUAAGCUGGAAGCUAGAGUGAAAACAUCAGUUGAGCUCUGUCAAGGAAGAGGCCGUAUCAUUUUAAAUAUGACUAAAUGAGGUCUAGAAAUAGAAAAGCUAUCAUUAAACCUCCUGGCUCAAGUAGAUGAGCGUCCAUUCACUGAAAAACAGUUCUCCCUGUCUCCUGCUCCAUUCUCAACUGCCUUUCAGCUGAUAUUUAUGAGAAGCAAUUUGUUAAAAGCAUAGCCAAUAUUUAGUGUGCUUAAAAGUUUUAAAGUAAGAGUAACUUGGCCUGCCAUAGCACCAGUCAUCCAGGAAUAUUACUGUACUCUACAAACAUGGAUGAGGUAGAGAUGGAGCCUGAUCCACAAUGGAGAUAAAACCAGAAUUCUCUAAAGUGACUCUUACCUUUGGACACCCAGCUUGGGACACCCAGAUCUAGAUUUUCUCAGCUGCAUCCAUUAUUCCAUUAACUUCAGAGGAAGCUCCUCUAAAAGCAAACCCACUUGACUAUUACUUUUUUUUUUUUCUAUCUGAGUAUCAAGUAGGUUGUGUUUUCUGUUUUAGACAAGUAUUGGAGUAAUGCACUUAAUAGAUUAGAUU
Alligator mississippiensis (American alligator) is the source of this 2153-nucleotide long non-coding RNA. RefSeq lists it as uncharacterized. The record is from RefSeq and is a predicted model, not a curated record. Lineage: Eukaryota; Metazoa; Chordata; Crocodylia; Alligatoridae. The transcript is spliced from 4 exons.